GCGAAAUGCGAUAAGUAAUGUGAAUUGCAGAAUUCAGUGAAUCAUCGAAUCUUUGAACGCACCUUGCGCUCCUUGGUAUUCCUUGGAGCAUGCCUGUUUGAGUAUCAUGAAAUCUUCAAAGUAAAUCUUUUGUUAACUCAAUUGGUUUCUACUUUGGUAUUGGAGGUCUUUGCAGCUUCACACCUGCUCCUCUUUGUUCAUUAGCUGGAUCUCGGUGUUAUGCUUGGUUCCACUCGGCGUGAUAAGUUAUCUAUCGCUGAGGACACUGUAAAAGGUGGCCAAGGUAAAUGCAGAUGAACCGCUUCUAAUAGUCCAUUGACUUGGACAAUACUUUUAUGAUCUGAUCUCAAAUCAGGUAGGACUACCCGCUGAACUUAA
This 378-nucleotide unclassified non-coding RNA is filed under the name plant metagenome. Its description in RNAcentral is "partial contains 5.8S ribosomal RNA, internal transcribed spacer 2, and large subunit ribosomal RNA". The stretch from base 1 to 107 matches the Rfam family "5.8S ribosomal RNA", at positions 48 to 154 of the family's 154-position model. The record is from RNAcentral.